CCUACGGGAGGCAGCAGUGGGGAAUUUUGGACAAUGGGCGCAAGCCUGAUCCAGCAAUGCCGCGUGCAGGAUGAAGGCCUUCGGGUUGUAAACUGCUUUUGUACGGAACGAAACGGUCCGCCCUAAUACGGUGGGCUAAUGACGGUACCGUAAGAAUAAGCACCGGCUAACUACGUGCCAGCAGCCGCGGUAAUACGUAGGGUGCAAGCGUUAAUCGGAAUUACUGGGCGUAAAGCGUGCGCAGGCGGUUAUAUAAGACAGAUGUGAAAUCCCCGGGCUCAACCUGGGACCUGCAUUUGUGACUGUAUAGCUAGAGUACGGUAGAGGGGGAUGGAAUUCCGCGUGUAGCAGUGAAAUGCGUAGAUAUGCGGAGGAACACCGAUGGCGAAGGCAAUCCCCUGGACCUGUACUGACGCUCAUGCACGAAAGCGUGGGGAGCAAACAGGAUUAGAUACCCUGGUAGUCCACGCCCUAAACGAUGUCAACUGGUUGUUGGGUCUUCACUGACUCAGUAACGAAGCUAACGCGUGAAGUUGACCGCCUGGGGAGUACGGCCGCAAGGUUGAAACUCAAAAUGAAAUUGACGGCGUGAGACGUGCCGACGGACGACGACGAGGGAGGAGG
This 624-nucleotide ribosomal RNA is filed under the name uncultured bacterium. RNAcentral's name for it is "bacterial SSU rRNA". It matches the Rfam family "Bacterial small subunit ribosomal RNA", at positions 338 to 951 of the family's 1533-position model. The record is from RNAcentral.